RNAcentral lists this long non-coding RNA (1487 nucleotides) under Papio anubis (olive baboon). RNAcentral describes it as "lncRNA (ENSPANG00000049246.1)". The record is from RNAcentral. Lineage: Eukaryota; Metazoa; Chordata; Mammalia; Primates; Cercopithecidae.
UUAUUAUGAUGAAUUCUCUAUUUGUGAAGUUGCCUAUUUGCAAAAAUUUCCUUUUUGCAACCACACCAAAGAUUGGAAAGUCCUCUCCUGGGUAGGCCCAUUGCAUUUUUAGGAAGUUCUAUUAGAAUGUUGUUUUUCUCCCCAUCCAACUAGAAUCCGCAUCCCUGAGAUCCUCCAAAUCAGUACUCGUGGUGCCUUUGCAGUCAUUUGCGGACAUGCAUAGAGCGAUGAAAAAUUUGUUGAUAAAAAUACAGAUUCUGAGCCCCAUCUAGAUCUACUAAGUCAGAAACACUGGAGUAUUUUUAACAAGCUUCCCACCCAGGUUUUCUGAUGUGUACCUGAUUUGGGAGUGACAGAUCUGAAUUACAUACAAGUCAAAGAUUGGAGAGUCCUCUCCUAGUUCGGCCCAUUUCAUUUUUAGAAAGCUCUAUUAGAAUGUUGUUUUUCCUCCCAUCCCACUAGAAUCUGCAUCCCUGAGAUCCCCCAAAUCAGUACUCAUGGUGCCUUUGCAGUUGUUUGUGGAUAAGCAUAGAGUGAUGAAGAAUUUGAGUUAUCCGACAUGGAUGUUCCCAGAUGAUGUUGAAUAAGUGAUUUUGCUGUUUAAAAUGCCUCCUUCCUCCGAAGCUUCGUAUUGAAGUGGUGUCCAGUAUUCCUAAGCAGAAGGCUGCGAAGUGUCUCACAGAGAAAAUAUGUGUGUUAGAUAAGCUUCAUUCAGGAAUCAAAUGGAAUGGAAGGAUUGAGGCUGAAUGUCUCCCACUGCAAAUUGGGCAAAGGCUCUAGAAGCUGGUUCCAGCUACCUGGGAGGCUGACGCAGGACGAUCCCUUGAGCCCAGGAGUUCGAGGUUACAGUGAGCUACUGGUUGCACCAUUGCACUCCAGCCUAGGUGACUGAGUGAGACCUUGACUCUUACAUCCCUGAAUUUAUUAACUGCACUAUAGUUAUAUAAGAGAAUAUCUUUGUUCCUAGGAAAUGCAGCCUGAAGUAUUUACAUGGCAAAGUACACAGUGUACUCUCAAAAAUGGUUCAGAAAAAAAAGUCACAGAAUUUCUUCAUACUAGUCUUGGAACUUGAAAUAUGAAGUUAUUUCAAAAUAAAAAGUUUUAAAAUGUUCUGCCUUUAAAAAUACCUGUAGAUUUGCUGGAAUUACCCUAUUUGAUUUCACAUAUGUCCAUAUAACCAUUAAAACAAGCAGUACAUUAGCUGCUGUAAGGAAGGGUUAGUAGCACAUUAAAAAAUGAUCUCAAAUGUUAGCAAGACCAGGACACAUUUUUCCAUAUUGCGUUUUAUUGCUUCUGAGAUCAUAUGUGAACAUUUUGGAAAUCCAGAUGAAUCUUGUAGUUGGUGGUAUAUACCAUAAUUUGAUUGUAGCUUUUCUUUUCCUUUUUGGUGCUACAUAAAAUAACGAUCUGAUGAACCUGAGAUUUGAUAAAAUAUGGUAGUCAGUGGUCCCGUAGGUCUUCGGUUAAUUUAAAAGAACACAGUAAGU